GGGGCCUCGAUCGCGCUAUUGUCAUGGAGACGGGAAGCUGGCUGCAGCGGCGGCGGGCACUGUGAGGCCGAGGUGGCUGCCAGCCGGCCAAUGUCUAAGCGAGGCCAGCGGCCCAGGCGGCCCGAGCCUGAGGGGAGCGCGCAGCCGGCCAGUGGCGGCCUCGCCGGCGGCCUCUUCUCGGGCUCGCAGUGGGCCCGAGUCGUCGCCGGGAGCUCCCGGGAGCAGCGUCCCCGCCCUGCUCCCCUCGCUCCCGCCUCUUGCGGCCCCACGGCCCCUCAGCGCCCGCCCCCGGCUCCGCCCGCCGCAGCCGCAGCCCCUGGCGCUAACGGUCGGUAACGGCCCGCGCGCGCCGCCCGCCGGGGGCUCGCGCCAGCCACGAGGGAGCGUCCGCGGCCCGCGCGCCCGCGCGGCGGAGGAGAGGUGAUAAAUGUGAUGCUUCUAUAAUACAUUUGGAUGUUGUCAGCUAAGUUCACUUAGGAAC
This 481-nucleotide long non-coding RNA is filed under the name Pongo abelii (Sumatran orangutan). RNAcentral describes it as "lincRNA". Lineage: Eukaryota; Metazoa; Chordata; Mammalia; Primates; Hominidae. The record is from RNAcentral.